RNAcentral lists this ribosomal RNA (224 nucleotides) under uncultured bacterium. Its description in RNAcentral is "partial 16S ribosomal RNA". It matches the Rfam family "Bacterial small subunit ribosomal RNA", at positions 28 to 246 of the family's 1533-position model. The record is from RNAcentral.
GACGAACGCUGGCGGCGCGCUUAACACAUGCAAGUCGAGCGAGAACCAGGGCUUCGGCCCUGGGGACAGCGGCGAACGGGUGAGUAACACGUGAGUAAUCUGCCCUCGACACUGGGAUAGCCCGGGGAAACCCGGAUUAAUACCGGAUAGCCUUUCGAGCUCUCGGGCUCGUCGAGAAAGAUGGCUUCGGCUUUCGGUGAGGAUGAGCUUGCGGCGGAUUAGUC